This 100-nucleotide transfer RNA is filed under the name Penicillium olsonii. RNAcentral describes it as "tRNA-Ile". It matches the Rfam family "tRNA". From Rfam's summary of the family: Transfer RNA (tRNA) molecules are approximately 80 nucleotides in length. Lineage: Eukaryota; Fungi; Ascomycota; Eurotiomycetes; Eurotiales; Aspergillaceae. The record is from RNAcentral.
AGCUCGUAUAGAUCAAUUGGCAGAUCGUCGCUCUUAUAUUAGUCUCCCGAAAGGGAACUCAUAUGGCGAAGGUUGAGGGUUCGACCCCCCCUAUGAGCAU